AGAGCUGGUGAUUCGGCCGCUGCUUCAAUCCGUCAGAGCGGUGUAGCGGAGUCCAGUCAGUAGGGACCCAUCCAUGUCCCUGCCCGCCUGCUGCAGCAGCAGUCAAGGCAGCCGGGUGAAGCUGACACCACAGACCUUGAAAAAAACAGGCAUGCGGAGGUGGAGCUGCGCGUCAGAUAUCGCGCCUGUAACUGUAGGCUUUAUGAGCGAAACGAAAGAAAACAAAAGUUUUCUGUGUAUUUGCCGAGCGUGUACUCGGUUGAAUGUCCUGGGUGUGUACGGCUGGACCGUACAGGGCUAGAAUAAGUCGCAGGAGUGCGACGGAAAGAGCAAGUUCGCGAGUUCAUAGCGAGUUCAUACUGACAGGUUUCCGCUGCGGCUUCUGCCUAACCUACAGGCUUCAGAAGCAGAGUCGCUCGGUAACCAGGCUCGCCCCCUCCCACGGAAGCAAGCACUAACUUUCCUGCCUGCAGGUACCCCUCCGUCUGAACGACCCCUAAGCGGUAAGGCAACUACUCAAGAAAACAAAGAUUUGGCUGUAAUAAAGGCUUGGCAUUGUAAAAGCAACGUGUGCCCUGUAAUGGACACUUGGCGCUAGCCAACCGUGAGGCCGCCGCGGCCAUGCCAUGCGCAGGGGUUGGAAUCCACAGCAUCCACAUCGAACACGUACGGGCCAAGGAAGGGCAUCUGUACCCGGACAGGAAAACACAGCACAGCGAGGCGUGCAUGGGGUAUCAGGGGGUUUCACAGGGCGGUGUGCAGCCAUCACAAGCCUCUCUUCCUGCUGCUUUCCUGCCUUCCUGCAGCCUCCCUAUCCACAAUCACAUCGGNCCUCUACCUACUUACCUACCGGGGUACCUACCUCUACAUAUGCCAAUAACGACCGGCGUCAUGAUCAAGCGGCCGCCACACCCUAUUACCUAGGCCAUGUGCACAAAUCCGCUCGGUCCUCCUUUUGCUGUACGUACGGUGUCGUACGAGUAAUGUACGAUGCCUGAUUGAAGUCGUUCCCACGCGGCGCGGGGCGGUGACUGAUGGAAUGGUUACCACGAGCACGUCAGGUACUGCACACGUUGGACGAGCUUACAGCUGGGUUUACAAGCAUGCAGAUGGAUGGGCAUAGCACAGCACAGCGAUCAGCACAGCACAGCGAUCAGCACAGCACAGCUCAGCAGCGCACGGCACCCUCCAGCCCAGUUGUGCAUUUUUGGGCGGGGCCCCAGCGCGAAGCGCCCAGGGGGGCCCCGACCUGUAGGAUUGCCCAUGUCCGUGUGUGUGUGUGUGUGUGUGUGUGUGUGUGUGUGUGUGUGUGUGUGUGUGUGUAACGGACCAAACAUAAUAUCUCGCCUGGCUGAAACGCGUUAUAGGUACUAUACAGCAUUCUCUAUUGCAAGGUAUCUCCCAUGUAGCCAACAAAAAUCGUAUGAGCGCAAACAAGUUUGGCUGCCUCAAUUGACCGAGGCCAAAGUCACAUCAAUGCCUCUCGCGCUAAAUUUCAUCGCAAAAGGUACCGCGUAUCUCAUAUUUGAGUUCUUAGAUGACGGCGUAUGAUAACUCGAACUCCCAGGCCUUGAGUGUGUAACGGACCAAACAUAAUAUUUCACCCGGCUGAAACGCGUUAUCGGUACUAUACAGCAUUCUCUAUUGCAAGGUAUCUCGCAUGUAGCUAACAAAGACCGUAUGAGCACAAACAAGUUUAGCUGCCUCCAUUCACCGACCUCAAAAGUCACAUCAACGCCUCUCGCGCUAAAAUUCAUCCCGAAAGCUGCCGCGUAUCUCACAAUGGAAUUCUGAGAUGACGGCGUAUGAUAACUCGAACACCCAGCUUGUGUUACCAUUUGCCGGCAUGGGCUUGCCACCAGCAGGCCAACAUAAUUUGCUUUCAUUUCUCUAUGAAAUACACAAGCUGCUUGUUUGUACAUUUACUUUGGCCAAUGCACGGGGCCUCCUGAGACUUGCGGUGUGCCCCGAUGAAGCCCGCGGCUGUGGGGCGGAUUGCUGAGGCCGCUGGCGCUUCGGGGAUAAACAUCACAGACAGCACCGAAAUUCACCCAGCUUUCGUUACCAUUUGCCCGCACGGGCAUUCCGACUUGCGGUCUGCCGCACUGUCCAUGCGGCAUGCACCCGGAAUGCCGGGUGCGGCAUGCACCCGGAAUGCCGGGUCCAUUCCGGGUGCAUGCCCGGAAUGGAUGCGAUUCGCGUGGAGCCCGCAGGCGGUGCUGACGAUUCCGCCGGUGCAAGCUUAGCUCUCACACCAUCAGCACUGCUGCAACAAAGCACAUCUCACACCGCGUUGACACUACCCAUCAAUUGUCACACNNNNNNNNNNNNNNNNNNNNNNNNNNNNNNNNNNNNNNNNNNNNNNNNNNCAACCAUGCUGGCAAGUCGGAUGCGCAAGCGCACCAUUGACAAGCCCCCGAGAAAUAUUCAAGUUAAUCGCAGGUCCUCAAUGAGGACCAUAUUAGCGAUUAAGCUAAUAAGAACAGAUACUACACAUGAUCUGAGCCAAAAGGCCGAGAAAGGUAUGAAAACAACAGGGAUGGGCCACGGACGAGUGCACGGCAAAAUACUCCUUUGGCGCUCGAUGGUGGGGGGUGGUAUUUAGAAGCACAUUGCUCCCCCUGAAAGCACCUGCUUGCUGUUCCUGGUCCGCAAUGUCGGGGCCAAGCAGGAAAACACAGCACAGCGAGGCGUGCAUGGGGUAUCAGGGGGUUUCACAGGGCGGUGUGCAGCCAUCACAAGCCUCUCUUCCUGCUGCUUUCCUGCCUUCCUGCAGCCUCCCUAUCCACAAUCACAUCGGCCCUCUACCUACUUACCUACCGGGGUACCUACCUCUACAUAUGCAAAUAACGACCGGCGUCAUGAUCAAGCGGCCGCCACACCCUAUUACCUAGGCCAUGUGCACAAUUCCGCUCGGUCCUCCUUUUGCUGUACGUACGGUGUCGUACGAGUAAUGUACGAUGCCUGAUUGAAGUCGUUCCCACGCGGCGCGGGGCGGUGACUGAUGGAAUGGUUACUACGAGCACGUCAGGUACUGCACACGUUGGACGAGCUUACAGCUGGGUUUACAAGCAUGCAGAUGGAUGGGCACAGCACAUCACAGCGAUCAGCACAGCACAGCGAUCAGCACAGCACAGCUCAGCAGCGCACGGCACCCUCCAGCCCAGUUGUACAUUUUCGUAUGGGCGGGUGCACGGCUGCAGCGGUAGUGUAAGGCCGCAACCAUGCUGGCAAGUCGGAUGCGCAAGCGCACCAUUGACAAGCCCCCGAGAAAUAUUCAAGUUAAUCGCAGGUCCUCAAUGAGGACCAUAUUAGCGAUUAAGCUAAUAAGAACAGAUACUACACAUGAUCUGAGCCAAAAGGCCGAGAAAGGUAUGAAAACAACAGGGAUGGGCCACGGACGAGUGCACGGCAAAAUACUCCUUUGGCCAAGCUUGCGCUCGAUGGUGGGGGGUGGUAUUUAGAAGCACAUUGCUCCCCCUGAAAGCACCUGCUUGCUGUUCCUGGUCCGCAAUGUCGGGGCCAGCAGUAGCUUAUUACAGCAGGGCCGAUUAAGCUAAUGCACAGAGCUGGUGAUUCGGCCGCUGCUUCAAUCCGUCAGAGCGGUGUAGCGGAGUCCAGUCAGUAGGGACCCAUCCAUGUCCCUGCCCGCCUGCUGCAGCAGCAGUCAAGGCAGCCGGGUGAAGCUGACGCCACAGACCUUGAAAAAAACAGGCAUGCGGAGGUGGAGCUGCGCGUCAGAUAUCGCGCCUGUAACUGUAGGCUUUAUGAGCGAAACGAAAGAAAACCAAAGUUUUCUGUGUAUUUGCCGAGCGUGUACUCGGUUGAAUGUCCUGGGUGUGUACGGCUGGACCGUACAGGGCUAGAAUAAGUCGCAGGAGUGCGACGGAAAGAGCAAGUUCGCGAGUUCAUAGCGAGUUCAUGCUGACAGGUUUCCGCUGCGGCUUCUGCCUAACCUACAGGCUUCAGAAGCAGAGUCGCUCGGUAACCAGGCUCGCCCCCUCCCACGGAAGCAAGCACUAACUUUCCUGCCUGCAGGUACCCCUCCGUCUGAACGACCCCUAAGCGGUAAGGCAACUACUCAAGAAAACAAAGAUUUGGCUGUAGUAAAGGCUUGGCAUUGUAAAAGCAACGUGUGCCCUGUAAUGGACACUUGGCGCUAGCCAACCGUGAGGCCGCCGCGGCCAUGCCAUGCGCAGGGGUUGGAAUCCACAGCAUCCACAUCGAACACGUACGGGCCAAGGAAGGGCAUCUGUACCCGGACAGGAAAACACAGCACAGCGAGGCGUGCAUGGGGUAUCAGGGGGGUUCACAGGGCGGUGUGCAGCCAUCACAAGCCUCUCUUCCUGCUGCUUUCCUGCCUUCCUGCAGCCUCCCUAUCCACAAUCACAUCGGCCCUCUACCUACUUACCUACCGGGGUACCUACCUCUACAUAUGCCAAUAACGACCGGCGUC
RNAcentral lists this long non-coding RNA (4456 nucleotides) under Volvox carteri. RNAcentral's name for it is "long non-coding RNA (VCAR_LNC003968)". The record is from RNAcentral. Lineage: Eukaryota; Viridiplantae; Chlorophyta; Chlorophyceae; Chlamydomonadales; Volvocaceae.